GGCCUUGUGGCCUAAUGGCAAGGCGUCAGUUUUCGGUAUCCAAUUACGGUUGGAUGUCAUCCACUGAAGAUUGCGAGUUCGAUCCUCGUCGAGGUCA
Molecule: transfer RNA, 97 nt
Rfam family: tRNA
About the family: Transfer RNA (tRNA) molecules are approximately 80 nucleotides in length. Their secondary structure includes four short double-helical elements and three loops (D, anti-codon, and T loops). Further hydrogen bonds mediate the characteristic L-shaped molecular structure. tRNAs have two regions of fundamental functional importance: the anti-codon, which is responsible for specific mRNA codon recognition, and the 3' end, to which the tRNAs corresponding amino acid is attached (by aminoacyl-tRNA synthetases). tRNAs cope with the degeneracy of the genetic code in two manners: having more than one tRNA (with a specific anti-codon) for a particular amino acid; and 'wobble' base-pairing, i.e. permitting non-standard base-pairing at the 3rd anti-codon position.
Source: Rfam